RNAcentral lists this ribosomal RNA (525 nucleotides) under uncultured archaeon. Its description in RNAcentral is "bacterial SSU rRNA". It matches the Rfam family "Archaeal small subunit ribosomal RNA", at positions 62 to 588 of the family's 1478-position model. The record is from RNAcentral.
AUGUUCUUCGUGAACAUGGCGAACUGCUCAGUAACACGUUUGACAACUUACCCUUAGGACUGUGAUAACCCCGGGAAACUGGGGAUAAUACCGGAUAAAUCAUAGGUGCUGGAAUGCUCUAUGGUUCAAAGCUCCGGCGCCUAAGGAUGGGUCUGCGGUCUAUCAGGUAGUAGUGGGUGUAACGUACCUACUAGCCGACGACGGGUACGGGUUGUGAGAGCAAGAGCCCGGAGAUGGAUUCUGAGACACGAAUCCUGGCCCUACGGGGUGCAGCAGGCGCGAAACCUUUACAAUGUGCGAAAGCAUGAUAAGGGAACUCCGAGUGCCAGCAUUAAAUGUUGGCUGUCCUUGUGCCUAAAACGCACAAGAUAGCAAGGGCCGGGUAAGACCGGUGCCAGCCGCCGCGGUAACACCGGCGGCCCGAGUGGUAGCCGCUAUUAUUGGGUCUAAAGGGUCCGUACCCGGUUUGAUAAUUCCUCUGGGAAAUCUGAUUGCUCAAUAAUCAGGCUGCCAAGGGAUACUGUU